UUUAGGCCUUAGCAUAACAUUAAAAUAGAGACUAUCUGAUGUUAAAAUGUUUUUAUUCAUGUAACUAACUCAGAGAAUGGUGUAAAAUAAUUAGGUGAUUCACUGCACUUGU
Molecule: non-coding RNA, 112 nt
Organism: Sturnus vulgaris (Common starling)
Lineage: Eukaryota; Metazoa; Chordata; Aves; Passeriformes; Sturnidae
Source: RefSeq, a predicted model, not a curated record